UUCCUUGGCAGGGCUCUCGCUCGCCGGUAGUCUGGAGUUUCGGUUUCUUGCAAAAGGAGCGUUGUGAAUGAAAUUGAGAAUAUUCCGGGAAUUGGUAACAGCCGCUGGAGGCCAGCAGGGGGUGGCAGAAGCUGAGCCACUGAGGAGUGGCACACGCCUGCGCAAACCCCACCACAAACAGCUGCGAGGAAGGAGAGCAUCUGCCCACUGCAAAGCCUCAAGAUCCUGUGAGGCCCAUUGGGUAGCUUUGGCCACAUAUCUCCCAGGGAUGUACAGAAGAGGAAGAAGGUUCGGGGAAUGGAUUGUGAUUGCGGCUGGGCUGACGAGGUGGUGACCUCAGCUAUCACUGGAAUGGGAGCACAUGGAACCCAUUGGUGCCUGAAGUGUUGCCUUUUACCGUAAGUACUUUUGUGUGUGUAGCUUAUACCAUGUUUUAUGAGAUGACUGGGUAUUUGCAUUUGUCUGACGUGUUAGUGCACACCUGUUUUCCCGUCAGUUGCCUGCCGUUUCCAGCCAACACAUACAGCCCAAUGUAAGUAAAUACGUGAGAACAGGUUCACACCAAAUAAUCUAACCUAGUUCAAAUAUUAACGAGAAUUGUGCUCUCUGCACACAUGCAAAAGUAUCAUUUUGAAACACUGAUCUUGAUAAAGGCGUCUAUCUCUGAAACGGAAACAUUGGUACCUGUGCAGGGGAGAUAGCACGCAGGUGUUAAUCCAGCAAUGUGUGUUUAGACAGUCCCAAGAGUGCAGGAGGGGAUUGCACUCGAUGGAACUUUCUCAUCUACACCAGAAAAUUACUAGGGGGUCACCCACGUCAUCGCUUCUGUUGGCCAAGCUCAUUGCACCCACCAGGGGCUCCUGGCAUCCCUCCGUUCCACCCCACCAGACCUCAGUGUGCCAUCCUCCCAAACUCUGUCUAUUUCAGGG
This 929-nucleotide long non-coding RNA is filed under the name Chrysemys picta bellii (western painted turtle). RNAcentral describes it as "lncRNA (ENSCPBG00000013762.1)". The record is from RNAcentral. Lineage: Eukaryota; Metazoa; Chordata; Testudines; Emydidae.